This 1494-nucleotide ribosomal RNA is filed under the name uncultured bacterium. RNAcentral describes it as "bacterial SSU rRNA". It matches the Rfam family "Bacterial small subunit ribosomal RNA". The record is from RNAcentral.
UAGAGUUUGAUCAUGGCUCAGAUUGAACGCUAGCGGGAUGCCUUACACAUGCAAGUCGAACGGCAGCACGGACUUCGGUCUGGUGGCGAGUGGCGAACGGGUGAGUAAUGUAUCGGAACGUGCCUAGUAGCGGGGGAUAACUACGCGAAAGCGUAGCUAAUACCGCAUACGCCCUACGGGGGAAAGCAGGGGAUCGCAAGACCUUGCACUAUUAGAGCGGCCGAUAUCGGAUUAGCUAGUUGGUGGGGUAACGGCUCACCAAGGCGACGAUCCGUAGCUGGUUUGAGAGGACGACCAGCCACACUGGGACUGAGACACGGCCCAGACUCCUACGGGAGGCAGCAGUGGGGAAUUUUGGACAAUGGGGGAAACCCUGAUCCAGCCAUCCCGCGUGUGCGAUGAAGGCCUUCGGGUUGUAAAGCACUUUUGGCAGGAAAGAAACGUCAUGGGCUAAUACCCCGUGAAACUGACGGUACCUGCAGAAUAAGCACCGGCUAACUACGUGCCAGCAGCCGCGGUAAUACGUAGGGUGCAAGCGUUAAUCGGAAUUACUGGGCGUAAAGCGUGCGCAGGCGGUUCGGAAAGAAAGAUGUGAAAUCCCAGAGCUUAACUUUGGAACUGCAUUUUUAACUACCGAGCUAGAGUGUGUCAGAGGGAGGUGGAAUUCCGCGUGUAGCAGUGAAAUGCGUAGAUAUGCGGAGGAACACCGAUGGCGAAGGCAGCCUCCUGGGAUAACACUGACGCUCAUGCACGAAAGCGUGGGAAGCAAACAGGAUUAGAUACCCUGGUAGUCCACGCCCUAAACGAUGUCAACUAGCUGUUGGGGCCUUCGGGCCUUGGUAGCGCAGCUAACGCGUGAAGUUGACCGCCUGGGGAGUACGGUCGCAAGAUUAAAACUCAAAGGAAUUGACGGGGACCCGCACAAGCGGUGGAUGAUGUGGAUUAAUUCGAUGCAACGCGAAAAACCUUACCUACCCUUGACAUGUCUGGAAUUCCGAAGAGAUUUGGAAGUGCUCGCAAGAGAACCGGAACACAGGUGCUGCAUGGCUGUCGUCAGCUCGUGUCGUGAGAUGUUGGGUUAAGUCCCGCAACGAGCGCAACCCUUGUCAUUAGUUGCUACGAAAGGGCACUCUAAUGAGACUGCCGGUGACAAACCGGAGGAAGGUGGGGAUGACGUCAAGUCCUCAUGGCCCUUAUGGGUAGGGCUUCACACGUCAUACAAUGGUCGGGACAGAGGGUCGCCAACCCGCGAGGGGGAGCCAAUCCCAGAAACCCGAUCGUAGUCCGGAUCGCAGUCUGCAACUCGACUGCGUGAAGUCGGAACCGCUAGUAAUCGCGGAUCAGCAUGUCGCGGUGAAUACGUUCCCGGGUCUUGUACACACCGCCCGUCACACCAUGGGAGUGGGUUUUACCAGAAGUAGUUAGCCUAACCGUAAGGGGGGCGAUUACCACGGUAGGAUUCAUGACUGGGGUGAAGUCGUAACAAGGUAGCCG